This is a long non-coding RNA of Vidua chalybeata, 578 nucleotides long. RefSeq lists it as uncharacterized. Lineage: Eukaryota; Metazoa; Chordata; Aves; Passeriformes; Viduidae. The record is from RefSeq and is a predicted model, not a curated record. The transcript has 3 exons.
GGCAAGAGGCAGAACACAUACCUUUUUGCUGCCUUUCUGCUGAACAAAGGCUGGGGUACCUGCAGUAUCUGCUUACAGGCAGCAUCUGGCAUUUCUUUGAGGAAAGUCCCUCACUCUCAGCCACCAUAUUUAUAUUCGGUAUAUGUGAAACAGCUCGGGUUAAAAAGGCUUUCAAAUGACUGCACCACAUGAGACCUGCAGCUCGCAAAUUAAUUGUUUGAAAAGGUAGAGAACUAAAGCCACACUGGUCUUACAAGCAUCUGCUUCUCUUCCUCCACCUGCUUCCUCUAGUAAUUGGGACACAUUGCAGAAAUUUCAUCCUGUCUGUGACAAGCAUGGCUAAAUAAGAAGCCAGCAGGGAAAUGGCAGUGUCAUCCAUUCCAACCACAUAUAUACACAUACUUGUAUAUGGAGACAAAUACAUAUACACACACAAACACACAUGCUCACACUCUUCCCUCCUUCCUAGGCCAUCACCAUAAUGGCAGAUAUUAAGACUCCUUUCAAAAUACAAAUAGUUUAGCACAUUUAUAAUUGACUGGAUAUUGGAGAUUUCAUUUAUGCUGCCUUUCUUUAUC